UUAAAUUUAAAUUUUUUUUUCGAUUAAAUGAUAAAUCAUUUUAGUUAAAUACAUUCAGUUAUUUUGAUUUACAGAUCAAAAUAAAGUAUAUCCUGCUGAUUUAUUGACCAAGAUAAAGUUCCUCCUGCUGAUUCACGGACCAAGAUAAAGUUCCUCCUGCUGAUUCACGGACCAAGAUAAAGAACAUCCUGCUGAUUCACAGACCAAGAUAAUGUUCCUCCUGCUGAUUCACAGACAAAGAUAAAGUUCCUCCUGCUGAUUUACAGACACUUUUAUGGGCUGCUACUUGUGAUUAAGAACUGACUUCAAAUGAUAGCAAGAGGAUGAUUUAAGCAUACAUAACUAAACUGGAAGAACAGAUGGUCCAAAACGCUAAAGCAACAGACAACCCAGAUGAAAAAAAAGUAGGCUACAUCCUGCUGAUUCACAGACCCUAACCCUAAUACCGGUGAAGAUAGAGAGUAAGCUACAUCCUAUUACUCUAGAAAAAGAACAGUCUACAGAUGAAUGUAACUAGCUCCUUUGGGCUUGAAAACUUGAUAUAUCAAAAAAUAUGCAGCAAGUCAGUCUCUCAAGUUAUUUGAAUAGAUCAAGUAGUGGAACAUACAGAUGGAGUAACAGGCAAGAAGUAGAGAUACCAAGAACUGUGCAAUCAAGUUGCAGAGCACAAUCGAUCUUUAGCAUACAGCAUACAGUUGAAUGGAACAAUUAUCUACUUAGAAAUGUCAAACUAUAGAAGCUACAUUUGUUGUUUUUUUCCUUUAAGGCAAGUAGUCUUUUAAAUUAAUGAUAAUUAUCUAUAA
Biomphalaria glabrata is the source of this 803-nucleotide long non-coding RNA. RefSeq lists it as uncharacterized. The record is from RefSeq and is a predicted model, not a curated record. The transcript is spliced from 6 exons. Lineage: Eukaryota; Metazoa; Mollusca; Gastropoda; Planorbidae.